This 253-nucleotide ribosomal RNA is filed under the name uncultured bacterium. RNAcentral's name for it is "partial 16S ribosomal RNA". It matches the Rfam family "Bacterial small subunit ribosomal RNA", at positions 524 to 776 of the family's 1533-position model. The record is from RNAcentral.
UACGUAGGGGGCAAGCGUUGUCCGGAAUCAUUGGGCGUAAAGCGCGUGUAGGCGGCUCGGUAAGUCUGCUGUGAAAGUCCAGGGCCCAACCCUGGGAUGCCGGUGGAUACUGUCGAGCUCGAGUCCGGAAGAGGCGAGUGGAAUUCCUGGUGUAGCGGUGAAAUGCGCAGAUAUCAGGAGGAACACCGAUUGCGAAGGCAGCUCGCUGGGACGUCACUGACGCUGAGACGCGAAAGCGUGGGGAGCAAACAGG